AGAGUUUGAUCCUGGCUCAGAGCGAACGCUGGCGGCAGGCCUAACUCAUGCAAGUCGAACGGAUCCUUCGGGAUUAGUGGCGGACGGGUGAGUAACACGUGGGAACGUGCCUUUUGGUUCGGAACAACUCAGGGAAACUUGAGCUAAUACCGGAUAAGCCCUUCGGGGGAAAGAUUUAUCGCCAUUAGAGCGGCCCGCGUCUGAUUAGCUAGUUGGUGAGGUAAAGGCUCACCAAGGCGACGAUCAGUAGCUGGUCUGAGAGGAUGAUCAGCCACAUUGGGACUGAGACACGGCCCAAACUCCUACGGGAGGCAGCAGUGGGGAAUCUUGCGCAAUGGGCGAAAGCCUGACGCAGCCAUGCCGCGUGAAUGAUGAAGGUCUUAGGAUUGUAAAAUUCUUUCACCGGGGACGAUAAUGACGGUACCCGGAGAAGAAGCCCCUGCUAACUUCGUGCCAGCAGCCGCGGUAAUACGAAGGGGGCUAGCGUUGCUCGGAAUUACUGGGCGUAAAGGGAGCGUAGGCGACUGUUAAGUUAGGGGUGAAAGCCCAGGGCUCAACCUUGGAAUUGCCUUUGAUACUGGCAGUCUUGAGUACGGAAGAGGUAUGUGGAACUCCGAGUGUAGAGGUGAAAUUCGUAGAUAUUCGGAAGAACACCAGUGGCGAAGGCGACAUACUGGUCCGUUACUGACGCUGAGGCUCGAAAGCGUGGGGAGCAAACAGGAUUAGAUACCCUGGUAGUCCACGCCGUAAACGAUGAGUGCUAGUUGUCGGCAUGCAUGCAUGUCGGUGACGCAGCUAACGCAUUAAGCACUCCGCCUGGGGAGUACGGUCGCAAGAUUAAAACUCAAAGGAAUUGACGGGGGCCCGCACAAGUGUGGAGCAUGUGGUUUAAUUCGAAGCAACGCGCAGAACCUUACCACCUUUUGACAUGCCCGGACCACCAGAGAGAUCUGGCUUUCCCUUCGGGGACUGGGACACAGGUGCUGCAUGGCUGUCGUCAGCUCGUGUCGUGAGAUGUUGGGUUAAGUCCCGCAACGAGCGCAACCCUCGCGAUUAGUUGCCAUCAGGUUUGGCUGGGCACUCUAAUCGUACUGCCGGAGUUAAUCCGGAGGAAGGCGGGGAUGACGUCAAGUCCUCAUGGCCCUUACAAGGUGGGCUACACACGUGCUACAAUGGCGACUACAGAGGGCUGCAAUCCCGCGAGGGGGAGCCAAUCCC
RNAcentral lists this ribosomal RNA (1218 nucleotides) under metagenome. RNAcentral describes it as "bacterial SSU rRNA". It matches the Rfam family "Bacterial small subunit ribosomal RNA", at positions 8 to 1275 of the family's 1533-position model. The record is from RNAcentral.